Molecule: ribosomal RNA, 491 nt
Filed under: uncultured bacterium
Lineage: Bacteria
Description: bacterial SSU rRNA
Rfam family: Bacterial small subunit ribosomal RNA
Source: RNAcentral
AGAGUUUGAUCAUGGCUCAGGACUAACGCUGGCGGCGUGCCUAACACAUGCAAGUCGAGCGGGGUAGCAAUACCCAGCGGCAGACGGGUGAGUAACGCGUGGUCAACCUUCCCGACAGUGGGGGAUAACUAGCCGAAAGGUUAGCUAAUACCGCAUACGAUCUAUGAGAGGCAUCUCUUAUAGAUGAAAGGAGCAAUCCGCUUUCGGACGGGACCGCGUCCCAUUAGCUAGAUGGUGGGGUAAUGGCCUACCAUGGCGACGAUGGGUAGCUGGUUUGAGAGAGCGACCAGCCACACUGGGACUGAGAAACGGCCCAGACUCCUACGGGAGGCAGCAGUGAGGAAUUUUCCGCAAUGGGCGAAAGCCUGACGGAGCGACGCCGCAUGUGGGAAGAAGGCCUUCGGGUCGUAAACCACUGUCGAAGGGGACGAUAAUGACGGUACCCUUGGAGGAAGCCCCGGCUAACUACGUGCCAGCAGCCGCGGUAAUAC